Molecule: non-coding RNA, 29 nt
Filed under: Homo sapiens (human)
Lineage: Eukaryota; Metazoa; Chordata; Mammalia; Primates; Hominidae
Source: RNAcentral
UGUGACGGCCAAGGAAUGCCACCUUAUUC